RNAcentral lists this long non-coding RNA (292 nucleotides) under Felis catus (domestic cat). Its description in RNAcentral is "lncRNA (ENSFCAG00000046136.2)". Lineage: Eukaryota; Metazoa; Chordata; Mammalia; Carnivora; Felidae. The record is from RNAcentral.
UGGCGAGCAGAGGGGCCCAAAGCUACCAGGGUCUUAAAAGGCCAAUUAAUGCCACUGGGGCCACAGUCAGGCCCCCACUGGCCUUUCACUGUCCCCUGGGGCCAUCCUUCAAUCCGCAUGGAAGUCUGAAAGCAUCUCCGUAGAGACGUCAGUCAGUCCCCUGGACAGAGAGUGCAGUGCGCCCCAGCUCUGGAGUGGGUCCGUCACUUGUCUGCGAGCUGGCCCGCCAGUCAUGAUGAGGCUCGGGUGUCUUCUCAUCAGGACAACCAAACAGCCACACCCCCAGCAGUGA